Molecule: ribosomal RNA, 885 nt
Filed under: Acinetobacter calcoaceticus
Lineage: Bacteria; Pseudomonadati; Pseudomonadota; Gammaproteobacteria; Moraxellales; Moraxellaceae
Description: bacterial SSU rRNA
Rfam family: Bacterial small subunit ribosomal RNA
Source: RNAcentral
GCAAGUCGAGCGGAGUGAUGGUGCUUGCACUAUCACUUAGCGGCGGACGGGUGAGUAAUGCUUAGGAAUCUGCCUAUUAGUGGGGGACAACAUUUCGAAAGGAAUGCUAAUACCGCAUACGUCCUACGGGAGAAAGCAGGGGAUCUUCGGACCUUGCGCUAAUAGAUGAGCCUAAGUCGGAUUAGCUAGUUGGUGGGGUAAAGGCCUACCAAGGCGACGAUCUGUAGCGGGUCUGAGAGGAUGAUCCGCCACACUGGGACUGAGACACGGCCCAGACUCCUACGGGAGGCAGCAGUGGGGAAUAUUGGACAAUGGGCGGAAGCCUGAUCCAGCCAUGCCGCGUGUGUGAAGAAGGCCUUAUGGUUGUAAAGCACUUUAAGCGAGGAGGAGGCUACUUUAGUUAAUACCUAGAGAUAGUGGACGUUACUCGCAGAAUAAGCACCGGCUAACUCUGUGCCAGCAGCCGCGGUAAUACAGAGGGUGCAAGCGUUAAUCGGAUUUACUGGGCGUAAAGCGCGCGUAGGCGGCUAAUUAAGUCAAAUGUGAAAUCCCCGAGCUUAACUUGGGAAUUGCAUUCGAUACUGGUUAGCUAGAGUGUGGGAGAGGAUGGUAGAAUUCCAGGUGUAGCGGUGAAAUGCGUAGAGAUCUGGAGGAAUACCGAUGGCGAAGGCAGCCAUCUGGCCUAACACUGACGCUGAGGUGCGAAAGCAUGGGGAGCAAACAGGAUUAGAUACCCUGGUAGUCCAUGCCGUAAACGAUGUCUACUAGCCGUUGGGGCCUUUGAGGCUUUAGUGGCGCAGCUAACGCGAUAAGUAGACCGCCUGGGGGAGUACGGUCGCAAGACUAAAACUCAAAUGAAUUGACGGGGGCCCGCACAAGCGGUGG